This 403-nucleotide ribosomal RNA is filed under the name Fusobacteriota bacterium. RNAcentral describes it as "Fusobacteria bacterium partial 16S ribosomal RNA". It matches the Rfam family "Bacterial small subunit ribosomal RNA", at positions 355 to 776 of the family's 1533-position model. Lineage: Bacteria; Fusobacteriati; Fusobacteriota. The record is from RNAcentral.
UGGGGAAUUUUGCACAAUGGAGGAAACUCUGAUGCAGCGACGCCGCGUGAGUGAUGAAGAUCUUCGGAUUGUAAAACUCUGUCCUUAGUGAAGAUAAUGACAGUAACUAAGAAGCAAGCCCUGGCUAAAUACGUGCCAGCAGCCGCGGUAAUACGUAUGGGGCAAGCGUUGUCCGGAAUUAUUGGGCGUAAAGGGUACGUAGGCGGUUUAAUAAGUCCUAAUUAAAAGGCUAUGGCUCAACCAUAGUAUGGUUAGGAAACUGUUGAACUUGAGUAGAUGAGGGGAAAGUGGAAUUCCAUGUGUAGCGGUGAAAUGCGUAGAUAUAUGGAGGAACACCAAUGGCGAAGGAAACUUUCUGGAAUCAAACUGACGCUGAGGUACGAAGGCGUGGGGAGCAAACAGG